CGUCACACGUUUCCCCCAACACCCCCUCCCCCCGCUUUGGGUUUCUGGAAUGGUUGGCUCCACGUCUGGGUUCAAUGUAGCAAUUCUCUGGCCAUGGCGUCUCUCUGAGCCCGGCGAGGGAGGCGGCGUUUUGUUGGCUUUUAAUACAACAGAGACCAGCUCCGGGGGGGGUGGGGGCACGGCGCAGAGACCUCAGCCUCGGUGGUCUGAACAAACCACCCCUCCCUACCUUCCGCUGCUGCUGAACGAGAGCUCCGGGGCGAGGGCAGGUCUGCAGGCACACUCACUGGCUUCGGAAUAAUGUUGUGAAGUGACAGGGAAUCGUCAAGGUAAAGGAGGAAGAGUAAGCAGGAAGCACUGUUUUCUGUAAGUGCCACAGCGAGGGUAUUCCAACUGGGAAGAAGUAUUUGCCGGUUUCACAACACCUGUAGUUCCUCUGGGCCUCUGGCUCUGAGGCUUUAGAGUGCUGCUUCCCUCUGUUCUGGCCUGCCUGCAGCAGCGUUGAGAAGCAGCGAGGGGCACUAUUGCCCUGAAACUGCUGAGGAGUUAAAUCACUAUGGAUUACGUUUCCGCCUUUCCCCUGCCUCCUCUAUUGGCAUGCAAAUCAGCUUGGAGCUCGGGCUUUGCCGAAAGUGAAAUUGCAAAUUGCAGCGAAGAGCCAGGAGUUAAUGGGAGCCGUUUCUGAGCGCAAAUCCACUUGAGCAUUGACAACGCUGGAAGGUGUCAUUCCGGGAUUAAAAGUGGAUGUUUGUGUCAACGCAAGAUCUGUCCCUGUGCCAAAAUGCUGUUUGUACGCCAGGCAGGCUUACCAAGAAAUAAUGUGAGCGAAAAAUCUACACUCUUGUCAGGUUUCUGCAGCGUAUCC
This is a non-coding RNA of Chiloscyllium plagiosum (whitespotted bambooshark), 865 nucleotides long. NCBI's taxonomy places the organism in Eukaryota, Metazoa, Chordata, Chondrichthyes, Orectolobiformes, Hemiscylliidae. The record is from RefSeq and is a predicted model, not a curated record.